RNAcentral lists this ribosomal RNA (371 nucleotides) under uncultured bacterium. RNAcentral describes it as "bacterial SSU rRNA". It matches the Rfam family "Bacterial small subunit ribosomal RNA", at positions 527 to 896 of the family's 1533-position model. The record is from RNAcentral. RNAcentral also lists the same sequence under 1 other name.
GUAGGUGGCAAGCGUUGUCCGGAUUUAUUGGGCGUAAAGCGAGCGCAGGCGGUUUCUUAAGUCUGAUGUGAAAGCCCCCGGCUCAACCGGGGAGGGUCAUUGGAAACUGGGAGACUUGAGUGCAGAAGAGGAGAGUGGAAUUCCAUGUGUAGCGGUGAAAUGCGUAGAUAUAUGGAGGAACACCAGUGGCGAAGGCGGCUCUCUGGUCUGUAACUGACGCUGAGGCUCGAAAGCGUGGGGAGCGAACAGGAUUAGAUACCCUGGUAGUCCACGCCGUAAACGAUGAGUGCUAAGUGUUGGAGGGUUUCCGCCCUUCAGUGCUGCAGCAAACGCAUUAAGCACUCCGCCUGGGGAGUACGACCGCAAGGUUG